RNAcentral lists this long non-coding RNA (357 nucleotides) under Salvia miltiorrhiza (redroot sage). RNAcentral's name for it is "long non-coding RNA (SMIL_LNC013729)". Lineage: Eukaryota; Viridiplantae; Streptophyta; Magnoliopsida; Lamiales; Lamiaceae. The record is from RNAcentral.
AUAUUUACGCUAUCACACAUCUCAAGUGUCAUAAUGAAUAAAAAAAGAUAUGAAUAAUAGAUACCGAAUCAUUAAUUUAUAAAAGACCUUGAUUUUUAAAGCAAACAACAUAUUAGAGUGUUAUAUUUAAGUAUCUAUUCUACCCUUAUCAGGCAUAGCAAGCGAGCGUGAAACAUGAUGAACAUAUAUCGAUAAAUCACUACCUAAUUGAAAUAUACUAAGAUCAGAACAAACAAACAUGUAAGAGUUACCUGAAUGGUUUGAAAUCUCUAAAGGAGUUGAAGUUAGAUAUCUGCAAAAGGUUAAGGAAUCUACCCUCUAUGGAUGCAAUGCGGCGCCUCACAAUAUUAAAAGAAC